This 474-nucleotide ribosomal RNA is filed under the name uncultured Nitrososphaerota archaeon. RNAcentral's name for it is "bacterial SSU rRNA". It matches the Rfam family "Archaeal small subunit ribosomal RNA", at positions 215 to 690 of the family's 1478-position model. The record is from RNAcentral. Lineage: Archaea; Thermoproteati; Nitrososphaerota.
CUGCGGCCUAUCAGUUUGUUGGUGAGGUAAUGGCCCACCAAGACUAUUACAGGUACGGGCUCUGAGAGGAGUAGCCCGGAGAUGGGUACUGAGACACGGACCCAGGCCCUAUGGGGCGCAGCAGGCGAGAAAACUUUGCAAUGUGCGAAAGCACGACAAGGUUAAUCCGAGUGGUUUCUGCUAAAGGAACCUUUUGUCAGUCCUAGAAACACUGAUGAAUAAGGGGUGGGCAAGUUCUGGUGUCAGCCGCCGCGGUAAAACCAGCACCUCAAGUGGUCAGGAUGAUUAUUGGGCCUAAAGCAUCCGUAGCCUGCUUUGUAAGUUUUCGGUUAAAUCCAUAUGCUCAACAUAUGGGCUGCCGGGAAUACUGCAAAGCUAGGGAGUGGAAGAGGUAGACGGUACUCGGUAGGAAGGGGUAAAAUCCUUUGAUCUAUUGAUGACCACCUGUGGCGAAGGCGGUCUACCAGAACACGU